CACGGGGGGAGCAAGCGUUGUUCGGAAUUAUUGGGCGUAAAGGGCGCGUAGGCGGUGCGGUAAGUCACCUGUGAAACCUCUGGGCUUAACUCAGAGCCUGCAGGCGAAACUACCGUGCUGGAGUGUGGGAGAGGUGCAUGGAAUUCCCGGUGUAGCGGUGAAAUGCGUAGAUAUCAAGAGGAACACCUGCGGCGAAGGCGGGUUGCUGGGCCGACACUGACGCUGAAGUGCGAAAGCUAGGGGAGCGAACGGG
Molecule: ribosomal RNA, 253 nt
Filed under: uncultured prokaryote
Description: partial 16S ribosomal RNA
Rfam family: Bacterial small subunit ribosomal RNA
Source: RNAcentral